AGUUUGACUUCUGCUCCGGACCGGCGGUCCGCCUUAGCGGCGGCUACUGCCGGGUUCCGAGCUGUGUCCCCGCCGGCGCGCACGGGGUUUUUUAUGCCCUUAACCGGGUGUCCCCCUGUGGCCGGCACGUUUACUUUGAAAAAAUUAGAGUGCUCAUAGCUGGCUGGUCUUUGCUUACAGCCCGAAUGGUCGUGCAUGGAAUGAUGGAACAGGACCUCGGUUCUAUUUUGUCGGUUUUUCGGAACCCGAGGUAAUGAUUAAUAGAAGCAGACGGGGGCAUUCGUAUUGCGACGCUAGAGGUGAAAUUCUUAGACCGUCGCAUGACGACCUACUGCGAAAGCAUCUGCCAAGGAUGUUUUCAUUGAUCAAGAACGAAAGUUAGAGGUUCGAAGGCGAUCAGAUACCGCCCUAGUUCUAACCUUAAACGAUGCUGACUAGCGAUCCGCCGCAGUUAUUCCCAUGACCCGGCGGGC
RNAcentral lists this ribosomal RNA (473 nucleotides) under Penaeus semisulcatus. Its description in RNAcentral is "SSU rRNA". It matches the Rfam family "Eukaryotic small subunit ribosomal RNA", at positions 636 to 1084 of the family's 1831-position model. The record is from RNAcentral. Lineage: Eukaryota; Metazoa; Arthropoda; Malacostraca; Decapoda; Penaeidae.